GACAGGUGAGACUCGAAACCCUUUCCUAAACCCAAAGUGUGGAACGUCAGAAGUUCGAGAAACACUAACUUGAAGGAACAACUUUGUGCAGGCAUAGAUUGUAUACAAGUCAAAAGGCAUAAAUGUUGCCUGAUAAACAUCAAACUAUCACUGCAAUAGCCAGGUCUUUUAAAUUAAGAGAUUCCUGAUGAAGGACUAACUGACCUGUCCAGGUUUGAUGUUCAGAAACUGCAGCACUUCCUUCACCAUGACCGGUGUGUGAAAGGGCUUCUCCUCUUGGACUGGCAUCUCACAAUCGGGGCUUGAAGGGACUGAUCCAGUAUAGAGUCUCCCUGGAUGCCACGACUUUCUCCAGCACCUCCUGAACAUUCUGGGGUUUCGGAGAGUAGCCACGUGUUUCCAAACUCCCAAAGUCUGUCUGCAGGGUGCAGCCAUGAAGCAGCUAUAAUAUUGGGGCAUAUAGAUCCUGCACAGAGGACACAUAUUUCAUCAGAAUAAUAUUAAAAGGACAAGAAAUGCAGGGGAUUACAUGUUGUCAAACAUGCCAUCUGGUAUAACUCAUUUGUAUUAGUCAUUAAAUGUUUAAUUAAAGACUGAGAUAUUUAAAACUCACAAUACAAAUUGUUUAAGCAUGUAAACAUGUUGUUAAUAUGCAAACGUUAGAAAUGAAUCUUCUUAUUUAAUCUAAAUUACCCAU
Molecule: long non-coding RNA, 697 nt
Filed under: Danio rerio (zebrafish)
Lineage: Eukaryota; Metazoa; Chordata; Actinopteri; Cypriniformes; Danionidae
Description: si:ch211-12j24.2 (ENSDARG00000105600.2)
Source: RNAcentral